This 355-nucleotide ribosomal RNA is filed under the name Carabus cantabricus brabeus. RNAcentral describes it as "partial 12S ribosomal RNA". Lineage: Eukaryota; Metazoa; Arthropoda; Insecta; Coleoptera; Carabidae. The record is from RNAcentral.
UUUAAAUGUAAAAUAAAUAUACUAAAUUAGUAUUAGUUAUGUUCUUGAAAUUUAAAGAUUUUGGCGGUAUUUUAGUCUAUUUAGAGGAGCCUGUUCUAUAAUUGAUAAUCCACGAUUAAUUUUACUUAAUUUAAAUAAAUUUGUAUACCGUCGUUAUAAGAAGAUUUUAAAAGAAUAUAAAUUUUUAAUAUUUUAUAUAAAAAAAUAUAUCAGAUCAAGGUGCAGUUCAUAGUUAAGUAGAAAUGGGCUACAAUAAAUUUAUUUAUACGGAUUAGAGAGAGAAUAUAUUUCUAUGAAGGUGGAUUUAAUAGUAAUAAAAUUAAUUUAAAUUUUAUGAUUUUAGCUCUAAAAUAUG